GAUGAAGAACGCAGCGAAAUGCGAUACGUAAUGUGAAUUGCAGAUUUCAGUGAAUCAUCGAAUCUUUGAACGCACAUUGCGCCCGCUAGUAUUCUGGCGGGCAUGCCUGUUCGAGCGUCAUUUCAACCAUCAAGCCCUAGGCUUGCGUUGGAGCCCUGCGGCUGCCGCAGGCUCCCAAAUCCAGUGGCGGGCUCGUCGUCGUACCGAGUGCAGUAAACAUCCUCGCUCAGGGAACGUGACGGGUUCUUGCCGUGAAACCCCCCACAUAUCAAGGUUGACCUCGGAUCAGGUAGGAAUACCCGCUGAACUUAAGCAUAUCAAUAAGCGGAGA
RNAcentral lists this unclassified non-coding RNA (331 nucleotides) under soil metagenome. Its description in RNAcentral is "partial contains 5.8S ribosomal RNA, internal transcribed spacer 2, and large subunit ribosomal RNA". The stretch from base 1 to 120 matches the Rfam family "5.8S ribosomal RNA", at positions 35 to 154 of the family's 154-position model. The record is from RNAcentral.